Non-coding RNA from Mycena latifolia, 94 nucleotides. The record is from the annotation of a GenBank genome assembly. NCBI's taxonomy places the organism in Eukaryota, Fungi, Basidiomycota, Agaricomycetes, Agaricales, Mycenaceae.
UCGGAUGUGGUGCACGGUACACACCCGCUUCUCUUUGUAAAACAGUUUGUCUUUGUUGAGGUGGGAGCGCUGGGUUCGACUCCCAGCGUCCGAA